GACGAACCGUGCGAACGUUGUUCGGAAUCACUGGGCUUAAAGGGCGCGUAGGCGGGCUGCCAAGUCUGGGGUGAAAUCCCACGGCUCAACCGUGGAACUGCCUCGGAUACUGGCGGCCUCGAGGGAGGUAGGGGCAUGCGGAACUGUGGGUGGAGCGGUGAAAUGCGUUGAUAUCCACAGGAACUCCGGUGGCGAAGGCGGCGUGCUGGACCUCUUCUGACGCUGAGGCGCGAAAGCUAGGGGAGCAAACGGG
Molecule: ribosomal RNA, 253 nt
Filed under: uncultured bacterium
Lineage: Bacteria
Description: partial 16S ribosomal RNA
Rfam family: Bacterial small subunit ribosomal RNA
Source: RNAcentral